This 45-nucleotide non-coding RNA is filed under the name Schistosoma curassoni. Lineage: Eukaryota; Metazoa; Platyhelminthes; Trematoda; Strigeidida; Schistosomatidae. The record is from RNAcentral.
AUCCGGCUGACGAGUCCUAAAUAGGACGAAACGCGCGUCCUGCAU